RNAcentral lists this ribosomal RNA (1343 nucleotides) under uncultured bacterium. RNAcentral describes it as "16S ribosomal RNA". It matches the Rfam family "Bacterial small subunit ribosomal RNA", at positions 28 to 1378 of the family's 1533-position model. The record is from RNAcentral.
GACGAACGCUGGCGGCGUGCUUAACACAUGCAAGUCGAACGGAAAGGCCCUGCUUUUGUGGGGUGCUCGAGUGGCGAACGGGUGAGUAACACGUGAGUAACCUGCCCUUGACUUUGGGAUAACUUCAGGAAACUGGGGCUAAUACCGGAUAGGAGCUCCUGCUGCAUGGUGGGGGUUGGAAAGUUUCGGCGGUUGGGGAUGGACUCGCGGCUUAUCAGCUUGUUGGUGGGGUAGUGGCUUACCAAGGCUUUGACGGGUAGCCGGCCUGAGAGGGUGACCGGCCACAUUGGGACUGAGAUACGGCCCAGACUCCUACGGGAGGCAGCAGUGGGGAAUAUUGCACAAUGGGCGGAAGCCUGAUGCAGCAACGCCGCGUGCGGGAUGACGGCCUUCGGGUUGUAAACCGCUUUCGCCUGUGACGAAGCGUGAGUGCCGGUAAUGGGUAAAGAAGCACCGGCUAACUACGUGCCAGCAGCCGCGGUGAUACGUAGGGUGCGAGCGUUGUCCGGAUUUAUUGGGCGUAAAGGGCUCGUAGGUGGUCGAUCGCGUCGGAAGUGUAAUCUUGGGGCUUAACCCUGAGCGUGCUUUCGAUACGGGUUGACUUGAGGAAGGUAGGGGAGAAUGGAAUUCCUGGUGGAGCGGUGGAAUGCGCAGAUAUCAGGAGGAACACCAGUGGCGAAGGCGGUUCUCUGGGCCUUUCCUGACGCUGAGGAGCGAAAGCGUGGGGAGCGAACAGGCUUAGAUACCCUGGUAGUCCACGCUGUAAACGGUGGGUACUAGGUGUGGGGUCCAUUCCACGGGUUCCGUGCCGUAGCUAACGCUUUAAGUACCCCGUCUGGGGAGUACGGCCGCAAGGCUAAAACUCAAAGGAAUUGACGGGGCCCCGCACAAGCGGCGGAGCAUGCGGAUUAAUUCGAUGCAACGCGUAGAACCUUACCUGGGUUUGACAUGGAUCGGGAGCGCUCAGAGAUGGGUGUGCCUCUUUUGGGGUCGGUUCACAGGUGGUGCAUGGCUGUCGUCAGCUCGUGUCGUGAGAUGUUGGGUUAAGUCCCGCAACGAGCGCAACCCUUGUUCACUGUUGCCAGCACGUUAUGGUGGGGACUCAGUGGAGACCGCCGGGGUCAACUCGGAGGAAGGUGGGGAUGACGUCAAGUCAUCAUGCCCCUUAUGUCCAGGGCUUCACGCAUGCUACAAUGGCUGGUACAGAGAGUGGCGAGCCUGUGAGGGUGAGCGAAUCUCGGAAAGCCGGUCUCAGUUCGGAUUGGGGUCUGCAACUCGACCUCAUGAAGUCGGAGUCGCUAGUAAUCGCAGAUCAGCAACGCUGCGGUGAAUACGUUCCCGGG